UCCGCCUUGCCCUGUGGACCGUAUAGGUGUUAACGCCUCGCGGUAUUUUGACCGUGCGAAGGUAGCGCAAAUCACUUGUCUUUUUAAAUUGGGGACCUGUUAUGAAUGGCAUACGAGGGCUUGACUGUCUCCUCUGGUCAAGUCAAUGAAAUUGACUCUCCCCGUGCAGAAGCGGGGAUAAAAACAUAAGACGAGAAGACCCUAUGGAGCUUCAGACACUAAAGCAGAUCAGCAUUAAUAUCCUGAACAUGGGACAUGAAUACACUGAGCCCUGCCCUAAUGUCUUAGGUUGGGGCGACCGCGGAGUAAACAAAAAACCCCCGCAAGGACCGAAUGUAUUACAUUCACAACCAAGAGCGACAGCUCUAAUUAACAGACACUUCUGACCAAUAAGAUCCGGCAACGCCGAUUAAUGGACCAAGUUACCCUAGGGAUAACAGCGCAAUCUCCUCUUAGAGCCCGUAUCAACGAGGAGGUUUACGACCUCGAUGUUGGAUCAGGACAUCCUAAUGGUGCAGCCGCUAUUAAGGGUUCGUUUGUUCAACGAUUAAAGUCCUACGUGAUCUGAGUUC
Molecule: ribosomal RNA, 572 nt
Filed under: Epinephelus bleekeri (duskytail grouper)
Lineage: Eukaryota; Metazoa; Chordata; Actinopteri; Perciformes; Serranidae
Description: partial 16S ribosomal RNA
Rfam family: Bacterial large subunit ribosomal RNA
Source: RNAcentral